GACGAACGCUGGCGGCGUGCUUAACACAUGCCAGUCGAACGGAAAGGCCCUGCUUUUGUGGGGUGCUCGAGUGGCGAACGGGUGAGUAACACGUGAGUAACCUGCCCUUGACUUUGGGAUAACUUCAGGAAACUGGGGCUAAUACCGGAUAGGAGCUCCUGCUGCAUGGUGGGGGUUGGAAAGUUUCGGCGGUUCGGGAUGGACUCGCGGCUUAUCAGCUUGUUGGUGGGGUAGUGGCUUACCAAGGCUUUGACGGGUAGCCGGCCUGAGAGGGUGACCGGCCACAUUGGGACUGAGAUACGGCCCAGACUCCUACGGGAGGCAGCAGUGGGGAAUAUUGCACAAUGGGCGGAAGCCUGAUGCAGCAACGCCGCGUGCGGGAUGACGGCCUUCGGGUUGUAAACCGCUUUCGCCUGUGACGAAGCGUGAGUGACGGUAAUGGGUAAAGAAGCACCGGCUAACUACGUG
Molecule: ribosomal RNA, 468 nt
Filed under: uncultured bacterium
Lineage: Bacteria
Description: partial 16S ribosomal RNA
Rfam family: Bacterial small subunit ribosomal RNA
Source: RNAcentral